RNAcentral lists this long non-coding RNA (252 nucleotides) under Arabidopsis lyrata. Its description in RNAcentral is "long non-coding RNA (ALYR_LNC000535)". Lineage: Eukaryota; Viridiplantae; Streptophyta; Magnoliopsida; Brassicales; Brassicaceae. The record is from RNAcentral.
GAGAAUCAGUGAAAAUUGGGUUGGCGAAACAGAAAGGAACCGAGAGUUGGCGAAACAAAGAGGAAACCGUGAAGAAUUGGCGAAACAGAGAGAAACCGUGAAGGAUUCCGGCAGACGCGUUCGAGAUUCCGGCGGAGGCGACGAGAUUCCGGCGGAGGCGACGAGAUCGUUGGUCGAAGAUGAGAGAAGACGAGAAUUUUGGGUGCGACGGAGGCGUUUAGGGUUAGUCUCUCAAAUUUUCUAUUUCCUGUU